This 491-nucleotide ribosomal RNA is filed under the name uncultured bacterium. RNAcentral describes it as "bacterial SSU rRNA". It matches the Rfam family "Bacterial small subunit ribosomal RNA", at positions 899 to 1397 of the family's 1533-position model. The record is from RNAcentral.
ACUCAAAUGAAUAGACGGGGGCCCGCACAAGCGGUGGAGUAUGUGGUUUAAUUCGAAGCAACGCGAAGAACCUUACCAGGUCUUGACAUAUAGUUAAAAAGCAUAGAGAUAUGUAAUAGUUAUAGCUAUACAGGUGGUGCAUGGUUGUCGUCAGCUCGUGUCGUGAGAUGUUGGGUUAAGUCCCGUAACGAGCGCAACCCUUAUCUUUAGUUACCAUCAUUAAGUUGGGGACUCUAGAGAGACUGCCGGUGAUAAACCGGAGGAAGGUGGGGAUGACGUCAAAUCAUCAUGCCCCUUAUGAUCUGGGCUACACACGUACUACAAUGGCAUAUACAGAGGGCAGCAAAACAGCGAUGCCAAGCGAAUCUCAGAAAGUAUGUCUCAGUUCGGAUUGGAGUCUGCAACUCGACUCCAUGAAGUCGGAAUCGCUAGUAAUCGCGAAUCAGAAUGUCGCGGUGAAUACGUUCUCGGGCCUUGUACACACCGCCCGU